RNAcentral lists this transfer RNA (66 nucleotides) under Chorthippus albonemus. RNAcentral describes it as "tRNA-Glu". The record is from RNAcentral. Lineage: Eukaryota; Metazoa; Arthropoda; Insecta; Orthoptera; Acrididae. RNAcentral also lists the same sequence under 2 other names.
AUUUAUAUAGUUUAAAUAAAACAUUACAUUUUCACUGUAAAAAUAAUAUUAUUUUAUUUAUAAAUA